RNAcentral lists this ribosomal RNA (433 nucleotides) under uncultured bacterium. Its description in RNAcentral is "partial 16S ribosomal RNA". It matches the Rfam family "Bacterial small subunit ribosomal RNA", at positions 29 to 507 of the family's 1533-position model. The record is from RNAcentral.
AACGAACGCUGGCGGCAUGCCUAACACAUGCAAGUCGAACGAGACCUUCGGGUCUAGUGGCGCACGGGUGCGUAACGCGUGGGAACCUGCCUUUAGGUUCGGAAUAACUCAGAGAAAUUUGAGCUAAUACCGGAUGAUGUCUUCUGACCAAAGAUUUAUCGCCUUUGGGUGGGCCCGCGUUGGAUUAGCUUGUUGGUUGGGUAAAGGCCUACCAAGGCGACGAUCCAUAGCUGGUCUGAGAGGAUGAUCAGCCACACUGGGACUGAGACACGGCCCAGACUCCUACGGGAGGCAGCAGUGGGGAAUAUUGGACAAUGGGCGAAAGCCUGAUCCAGCAAUGCCGCGUGAGUGAUGAAGGCCUUAGGGUUGUAAAGCUCUUUUACCCGAGAUGAUAAUGACAGUAUCGGGAGAAUAAGCUCCGGCUAACUCCGUG